AUUGAACGCUGGCGGCAUGCUUUACACAUGCAAGUCGAACGGCAGCGCGGGGCAACCUGGCGGCGAGUGGCGAACGGGUGAGUAAUAUAUCGGAACGUACCCAGAAGUGGGGGAUAACGUAGCGAAAGUUACGCUAAUACCGCAUACGAUCUACGGAUGAAAGUGGGGGACCUUCGGGCCUCAUGCUUUUGGAGCGGCCGAUAUCUGAUUAGCUAGUUGGUAGGGUAAAGGCCACCAAGGCGACGAUCAGUAGCUGGUCUGAGAGGACGACCAGCCACACUGGGACUGAGACACGGCCCAGACUCCUACGGGAGGCAGCAGUGGGGAAUUUUGGACAAUGGGCGCAAGCCUGAUCCAGCAAUGCCGCGUGAGUGAAGAA
This 379-nucleotide ribosomal RNA is filed under the name uncultured bacterium. RNAcentral's name for it is "bacterial SSU rRNA". It matches the Rfam family "Bacterial small subunit ribosomal RNA", at positions 30 to 412 of the family's 1533-position model. The record is from RNAcentral.